AAAAAAGUGUUUUUUUCUGUGCUCACUUAACGAUACAGAGAAGAUUUGGAUGACCCCUGCACACGGAUGACAUAAAAAUUGGUGAAGCAUUCCAAUUAUGA
Loxodonta africana (African savanna elephant) is the source of this 101-nucleotide small nuclear RNA. The record is from Ensembl. Lineage: Eukaryota; Metazoa; Chordata; Mammalia; Proboscidea; Elephantidae.